RNAcentral lists this ribosomal RNA (472 nucleotides) under uncultured organism. RNAcentral's name for it is "partial 16S ribosomal RNA". It matches the Rfam family "Bacterial small subunit ribosomal RNA", at positions 332 to 800 of the family's 1533-position model. The record is from RNAcentral.
UACACUCCUACGGGAGGCAGCAGUGAGGAAUAUUGGACAAUGGGUGGAAGCCUGAUCCAGCCAUCCCGCGUGCAGGAAGACGGCCCUAUGGGUUGUAAACUGCUUUUAUCUGGGGAUAAACCUACUUACGUGUAAGUAGCUGAAGGUACCAGAAGAAUAAGCACCGGCUAACUCCGUGCCAGCAGCCGCGGUAAUACGGAGGGUGCAAGCGUUAUCCGGAUUUAUUGGGUUUAAAGGGUCCGUAGGCGGACUGAUAAGUCAGUGGUGAAAUCCGACAGCUUAACUGUCGAACUGCCAUUGAUACUGUUAGUCUUGAGUGAGGUUGAAGUGGCUGGAAGAAGUAGUGUAGCGGUGAAAUGCAUAGAUAUUACUUAGAACACCAAUUGCGAGGGCAGGUCACUAAGUCUUAACUGACGCUGAUGGACGAAAGCGUGGGGAGCGAACAGGAUGAGAUACCCUGGUAGUCCCAUGA